AACACCUUGUAGAGUCAACAUGGGCCAGCAUCCCUGUGGAACGCUUUCAACUCCUUGUAGAGUCAACAUGGACCAGCAUCACCGUGGAACGCUUUCAACUCCUUGUAGAGUCAACAUGGGCCAGCAUCCCUGUGGAACGCUUUCAACUCCUUGUAGAGUUCAUGCCCUGAGAAUUUAGGCUGUUCUGAGGGCAAAAGGAGGUGCAACUCAAUAUUAGUAAGGUGUUCUUAAUGUUUUGUAUACUCAGUGUGUACUAUAAUGCAUUGUGCCUCUCAAGGGGGUGGAAACUGAGGCUAGACUGGGCCUGACUGAAGGCUGGCUGGCCUGAUGCAUUAUGACCUGAAGCUCACAGGCAUUUACAAUGCCCUCCACCAAUCCCCUGGCCUGUUACUGUUAGGUUGAAUGCCCUCCACCAAUCCCCUGGACUGUUACUGUUAGGUUGAAUGCCCUCCACCAAUCCCCUGGCCUGUUACUGUUAGGUUGAAUGCCCUCCACCAAUCCCCUGG
Molecule: long non-coding RNA, 506 nt
Organism: Oncorhynchus tshawytscha (Chinook salmon)
Lineage: Eukaryota; Metazoa; Chordata; Actinopteri; Salmoniformes; Salmonidae
Source: Ensembl